GGAAACGGGUGGAUGGGGAGGGGGCCGCCACAUGGAUAGGCGAAGAAGGAAGCAAAACAGAAAGUCCCAAACAUGGGAGGCGUUCCACAACAACAAUAAGGGACUCGACUAAAAAACUUCAAUGCAAUACUAUACUCGACGAGUGUCUACGUGUCCGGCCACAUAUCUAAUAGAUGCGUGCGGAACCUUGUCGGAAGAUAGCUAGCAAAACAAACGGAUAGACGGACGACCGUUGUGUCAUCAGAAAUAUAGGUUGCCUGAGAUAAGCGUUCGAUUUGUUUGUCAACGACAGAUCGAGGACGAAACUCUCAACCUCGGAAGUGGACGGCACUUGGAAAUUUUAUUUCAAGGCCCACAAUUAAAUAAUUCAUGAGUACAGCGCGGAUGGGCACGUGGGUAUCAGCAGGGUAUAACCAACCGUUGGACCCUUCAAAUAAAACACGGAGGGGUGGAAUCGAAUUAAAAAGUAGGCCUAGGUGCUGCGCACUAACCUACACAACCACCCGCAUUGUGUACGGCCUACCUUUGUCCGUCAUGUCGUCCCGUCAAGUGAAAAAUAGAAACGAGUUACCGCUGGAAUCUCCUACCAGAUAAUUUCAGUUCCACAACCGGAUCGAGUAACAUUCGAGAAACCAAAAUUGUUAUUGUUGUUGUUGUUUUGAAAACCACGCGAAAACCUGUUUCUGUUUACAUCCAACCGUUCGCCGAAUCGCUGAAAGCCGCCGAGGGCUCUUUCGUUACACACGUGUUGCGUGCAUGUGAUGGAAGAACUGCGCAGUAUAUUUUGCCGGCACGACGAACUCAACGAACCUCCCGGGAGAGCAACAGCGCGCAGAAACCACCGACUAGAAUUAUCAAAAUGCACAUGGCAACCGAAAUUGUUAUCACCAUUUAAGGCACGUUGAUUCUUAAAUUUGUUUAUAAAAGAAGAAGAAUUCGAUGUGAAUAAUCUGAGAACAAAAACAAAAUAGCCGAUGAAGGACAAACGGUACGUGGCCUCGACCAGAAGAAGAAGAAGAAGGGAGUCGUCGGCAGCGAAACCAGUUUUUCAGAUGGCCUACGUGCUGUUUGAAACGUUCGCCCAGCAACAGAGAGAAAGAUACACGCCGUACAGUGCGUCGCGGUUGCUGCUGGCCUUAUCGAAGACCGAAACAACAACUCACUGCACCCAGACUGACUGAUGUUUUCAAUUUCUCUCUUCCCACCGGCAUUCAUCAGUUCGUUCCCUCUUUGCUCCACUUUUCUACACAUUGGGCAGAGAAAAAAGCUCAUGCUCUUUCGUGAAGCCGAAACAUUGUCACUCUUGUACAACCGCCGAUAAGAGUCAACAUCUGUUGGUGGGUUGGGGAUGUCUAUAGGGGGAAAUUCUAUAGGCCUCCAGCUGAGGGUAUUUUUGAAAUGUGUAAAAGUCAUUUUCCAACCACGACCUACUUCUUUUUUUUCCGUUGUGCACUGAGAAGAAGAAGCCGAGCUCCAGCAAAGGAGAAAAUAGAAUGUAGAGGGUUGCUUGAACUGCUGCAGUCGGCCUAAAUCACGAACUCAUUAUAUUUGUCUCUCCCCCCUACCAUUUCUUUUGCCAAGGGAAACUUUUUGAAGGAGCUAUAGGAAAACAAACUGGCAGAGACCUCGAGGUCUUUCAACCUGUCCUUUGACACGCGUUCCUCAUCUUGACAUGUUUCUCCUAGUAACAGCAGUAGCAGCUAUAGCCGGACAGGCUACUAUAUCAGAAUACCAACAACUCUACACAGUUGGCAAGAUAAGAAAAUGGUCUCCCUUAAAGCGGCUGUGAUAUUUAUUUACUCUUGUAAUCUUUUUUUAAAUAAAUAAUCUGCCGGGUGUAUCACAUGUAACGGGCGGCACAGGAUAUUCCAUUUGUUUCCACGGUUCUCACAGUGUGUGUAUCCGAGUGUACGUGUUGUUUGUAAACACAACUUUGAACCCCCCAGCACCAAUCACGCGAUAAUAUGCAUGCGUGUAGAGUCCCCAUCAUUUAAGGAUUUCUGUAACGUAAUAAAAAUAUAUUGCCAUUAGAUUUGAGGUUAUUUCAAUGUUUUAUUCUACGAUGACGCAUAUGAAUAUCAAAUGGAACAAAAAAAGGAGGGGCUGUGUUCUGUUUGCCAGUUGUUGUUGUUGUUUUCGUUUGGGGUUUCGUUCCCAGUUUCACCUGGGGACGACGCGCGGUUUCAGGUUUUCCCGUACGCAGCUGCGCUCAGACGUGCGUGUCAAACUUAUUUUGGAGACAGCUCAGCUUUAUAAGGUGACUCUCGAGUUUGUGUGUAUCUCCUACCAAAUUUGUUAUUCAAAAUAAAUAACGUUUCCGUCGGGAUU
RNAcentral lists this long non-coding RNA (2328 nucleotides) under Daphnia pulicaria. RNAcentral describes it as "uncharacterized LOC124313608, transcript variant X2". Lineage: Eukaryota; Metazoa; Arthropoda; Branchiopoda; Diplostraca; Daphniidae. The record is from RNAcentral.